Molecule: long non-coding RNA, 174 nt
Organism: Sebastes umbrosus (honeycomb rockfish)
Lineage: Eukaryota; Metazoa; Chordata; Actinopteri; Perciformes; Sebastidae
Exons: 3
Source: RefSeq, a predicted model, not a curated record
GCUCUUUCACGUUUUUACGUUACCUGAAGGCCACCGUAGUUCUCUGACACACUUAUGAAACUGCGAUAACGUGAGUCGUAGAGUGCUAAACCGUGAUACCGCCAGCCAUCGUCAGACUUCUGUUGAUCCUAAAAGUCCAGAAACACCAAGCACCGCCCAUCGGCCCGGAGCACA